Oncorhynchus nerka (sockeye salmon) is the source of this 3003-nucleotide long non-coding RNA. RefSeq lists it as uncharacterized. The record is from RefSeq and is a predicted model, not a curated record. NCBI's taxonomy places the organism in Eukaryota, Metazoa, Chordata, Actinopteri, Salmoniformes, Salmonidae. The transcript has 3 exons.
UACUUUCCUACUGCCACCGCCCAGAUUUUCGAGCGACCAUUUUCAGCCAUGUAUUUCUCAACGGACCAGCUAACGAUUCCACACGGUCUCAUGAGGUAUUCCUAGCUCGAUAUCUAGGCUAUAUAUGGACCGAUUUAAUCGAAAAAAGACCCUAAAUGAUGUUUAUGGGACAUCUAGGAGUGCCAAGAAUGAAGCUCGUCAAAGUGGGAGCAGUGAUGUCCUCCUUUUGCUUUGGGCGUCUCUGGGUCUGAUUGCCCUGAAGGACUCUUCCCGUUGUCAGAGGGAGAGUCUGGUCUCUCUCCUGUCAAAGACAAACAGAUUAUCUAGUUACUUAGUUGUCUACUGUGCUGUACUGUGUGGCCAAACUUGUGAAACAUAUAAGUCUAUGAUUGGUUCAGAUUUGGUCUUGUUUGGGGGAGUUCAUUAAAAUAAAAGCCAGUGUGAAAAACAGUGGUCACCAAGUCAAUCAUCAAACAUUUCUGUAAAAACUCAAUGUGUUUUCCGUUUGCUCCAGCAGUAUUCUUAAAGUGUAUAAGAAUUUAGUGAAUAUUUAGCAAAGUUUUAGUGAAUUUUGAAUUUAAAAUAUAUAUAUAUUUUCAAAUAUUAGUUUGAUGAGUCCGGCCUACAAGACCCAGUUCCAUCUCCUGAGGCUGAAAGCCCAGAGACUUGCACUUUGCUUGGGUGUGCGGUUUUGUCUCGGGGCGCUAAAAUGAACAUUAGAGGCCAUCAAGCUACUAUCCUGAGACCGAUAUUACAUUUUUGGCCAAUACCGAUAUCCAAUAUUUUCCUUGCCCCAAAAAACGAUACCGAUAACCAAUAUUUAAAAAUGUAGUCGCCUUUAAAGCAUUCUAGUACAGUUAAAUAGUUCACACACACAAGGAUGCAGCGGUCUAAGCCACUGCACCUCAGUGCAAGAGGCAUCACUACAGUCCCUGGUUCGAAUCCAGGCUGUAUCCAGGCUGUAUGAUUGGGAGUCCCACAGUAGUUGUCUGUUAUUGGUGUAGAGAGGGUGACAAAGGAGAGGGAUCCCACAUGUGGAUGUAAGAUGCAAAUUAUAAUUAUUAUGGGAAAUAUUCAUUUAAAAUCCAGGAAUUUUAAAACUUUAGCUCUCGAGGAUAUGCCAGUAGGCUACAGUAGGUGGUAUCUCUAGAUCAUGCCAGUAGGUUACAGUAGGUUGUAUCUCUCUAGAUCAUGCCAGUAGGCUACAGUAGGUUGUAUCUCUCUAGGCCAUGCCAGUAGGUUACAGUAGGUUAUGGUAGGUUGUAUCUCUCUAGGUCAUGCCUGUAGGUUACAGUAGGUUACAGUAGGUUGUAACUCCCAAGGUCAUGCCAGUAGGCUACAGUAGGUUGUAAACUCUCUAGGUCGUGGCAGCAGGCUAGAGUAGGUUUUAUCCAAGUGGAAACAAUGAUCACAAACAACUUGCACAAUCAAGUUCGACUUAAAAUUGAUUCCCCAUAGCCAGCAACUUUCUUAGUGCAAAGGUUGCAUGUUCAGAUCUCAUCACGGACAACAUUUGCAUUUGCAUUAGCUAACUUUGCAACUACUUACUAUUUUUCCAAUGUGGAAAGUGUCAAAUUUGUUCAACAACAAAAUGAAUGGCAUAUUUGCUACGUGAGGUUUACUUGAUCCAAAAGAAGUUUAGUAAUGCUUAAGCGACAUUUUUUUUUUUAAACUUUAUUUUACUCGGCAAGUCAGUUAAGAACAAAUUCUCAUUUUCAAUGACGACCUAGGAACAAUGGGUUAACUACCUAGUUCAGGGGCAGAACGACAGAUUUUUACCUUGCCAGGUAAAUCGUGCAACCUAAAUAAGAAAAUGGUGCUUUGGUAGCGUCCUCAUAGCUCUUCAUAAAGUAGGAUUUCCUUCCCGGGUACAUCUGCUGAGCUAGAGUGUUAAUUUGUAGUUUGUCUCUAGGAUUUUUGAACAAAACCAUGUAAUUGGCGUUCAAACUGAUGGUGCGGCUAUUUUUACCUUGGUGAAAGACAUUCUACACCAAGUAAAGCACGGACAGGUUUCUAUGAUGUGUAUAUUGGGUAAAAGCUUGAGCAAUUUCAGGAUGUUCGCUACCUGCAAAUAGCAUAUCGUCCAAAAGCAGCAGAUUGUUUUUAUGAGGAGGGAGAAGUUCAUCAUCAGACGGAUUCAGGUAUUCCUUCAAAAAACUAGAUUUUUAUUGUCUUCAACAAUUCAUCAUACAGAGGUUGAUAACAAGAAUAACCCCACACAACAUUAUCAGGCUUUUGAGAUAACACAUGUUCAGAAUUCUCUAAAAUACUUUUUACAAAAUACGUUUUACCACUAUUAGACGGCCCUGCGAUUAAGGCCGAAAAUGGUAGUUGCAACCGGGGGUCAAAACCUUCUAUAGCAGUCAUAUCUUAAGCUUUAAGACACACUGCGGCUUGUAGCAUAAGUCAGUAGCCAAAGGGCAAUGUGGUCCCGUCAGGCAAAAGCAGUCUCUUUUCAUAGACUACCAUGGUGUGGAAAUAAUCAGAAUUUGUUGGUAACAUAGGUAAGAUGUUUUAUAUUCAUCAUAUGUUUGUAAGUUACUUCUCAUCAAGAAUGUUAUUUUUGUAUAAUACUGUGGCAGGGUUGCAGUAUCUGUUCUAUGUCAAAACUAAGUUGCAUGAGCCACAGAGAGGGGAGAGGUCAAAGUGUCAUCAAGCGUGUAUCUCUUGGCUCCACAAUGUCUGUGUGCCAGUCAGUGUGUCUCUGUGAUCUUGUCAAGAUAGGAUUGGUUGUAUUUAGAGUUGGUUGUAUCUAAAUGACAAUUUGAUAUAUGCCUGUUGAUAUGGAGGAUUGGUUUAUGGUUCUGGGGUUUGAGUAAGGAGACAAAGCUGAACGAUUUAUUAUGUCUAUGCUGUCUGACUAAGUGUGUUCUUUGCUAUUAAAGGAUCGCAGUUGCAAUGCAGAGGGGGCUCUCAGAGAAUUCACUGAGAGACACUGAAUUACCUGAGAGUCACAGGAUUGUGAUAGAGCUCAUAUAAUUAAAGAUGUACUUUGAUAACUAA